Molecule: ribosomal RNA, 287 nt
Filed under: uncultured bacterium
Lineage: Bacteria
Description: partial 16S ribosomal RNA
Rfam family: Bacterial small subunit ribosomal RNA
Source: RNAcentral
GUGGAUUAGAUACCCUGGUAGUCCACGCCGUAAACGGUGGGAACUAGAUGUGGGGUCCGUUCCACGGAUUCCGUGUCGCAGCUAACGCAUUAAGUUCCCCGCCUGGGGAGUACGGCCGCAAGGCUAAAACUCAAAGGAAUUGACGGGGGCCCGCACAAGCGGCGGAGCAUGCGGAUUAAUUCGAUGCAACGCGAAGAACCUUACCAAGGCUUGACAUAUAGAGGAAAAGUGCAGAAAUGCACUCCCCGCAAGGUCUCUAUACAGGUGGUGCACGGUCGUCGUCAACU